Molecule: ribosomal RNA, 301 nt
Filed under: uncultured bacterium
Lineage: Bacteria
Description: partial 16S ribosomal RNA
Rfam family: Bacterial small subunit ribosomal RNA
Source: RNAcentral
CAGCAGCCACGGUAAUACGUAGGUCCCGAGCGUUGUCCGGAUUUAUUGGGCGUAAAGCGAGCGCAGGCGGUUCGAUAAGUCUGAAGUUAAAGGCUGUGGCUCAACCAUAGUUCGCUUUGGAAACUGUCAAACUUGAGUGCAGAAGGGGAGAGUGGAAUUCCAUGUGUAGCGGUGAAAUGCGUAGAUAUAUGGAGGAACACCGGUGGCGAAAGCGGCUCUCUGGUCUGUAACUGACGCUGAGGCUCGAAAGCGUGGGGAGCGAACAGGAUUAGAUACCCCCGUAGUCCCUGUCUCUUAUACA